Molecule: ribosomal RNA, 475 nt
Filed under: uncultured bacterium
Lineage: Bacteria
Description: partial 16S ribosomal RNA
Rfam family: Bacterial small subunit ribosomal RNA
Source: RNAcentral
UUGAACGCUGGCGGCAUGCUUUACACAUGCAAGUCGAACGGUAACAGGUUAAGCUGACGAGUGGCGAACGGGUGAGUAAUGCAUCGGAACGUGCCCGAUCGUGGGGGAUAGCGCAGCGAAAGCUGCGCCAAUACCGCAUACGAUCUGAGGAUGAAAGCGGGGGACCGUAAGGCCUCGCGCGAUCGGAGCGGCCGAUGUCAGAUUAGGUAGUUGGUGGGGUAAAAGCUCACCAAGGCGACGAUCUGUAGCGGGUCUGAGAGGAUGAUCCGCCACACUGGAACUGAGACACGGUCCAGACUCCUACGGGAGGCAGCAGUGGGGAAUUUUGGACAAUGGGGGCAACCCUGAUCCAGCCAUGCCGCGUGAGUGAAGAAGGCCUUCGGGUUGUAAAGCUCUUUCGGCCGGGAAGAAAUCGUAUCAGCUAAUACCUGGUGCGGAUGACGGUACCGGCAUAAGAAGCACCGGCUAACUACGU